RNAcentral lists this ribosomal RNA (253 nucleotides) under uncultured bacterium. RNAcentral describes it as "partial 16S ribosomal RNA". It matches the Rfam family "Bacterial small subunit ribosomal RNA", at positions 524 to 776 of the family's 1533-position model. The record is from RNAcentral.
UACGAAGGGGGCUAGCGUUGUUCGGAAUCACUGGGCGUAAAGGGCGCGUAGGCGGCUUUGUAAGUCGGGGGUGAAAGCCUGUGGCUCAACCGCAGAAUUGCCUUCGAUACUGCAUGGCUUGAGACCGGAAGAGGUAAGUGGAACUGCGAGUGUAGAGGUGAAAUUCGUAGAUAUUCGCAAGAACACCAGUGGCGAAGGCGGCUUACUGGUCCGGUUCUGACGCUGAGGCGCGAAAGCGUGGGGAGCAAACAGG